RNAcentral lists this ribosomal RNA (433 nucleotides) under uncultured bacterium. Its description in RNAcentral is "partial 16S ribosomal RNA". It matches the Rfam family "Bacterial small subunit ribosomal RNA", at positions 29 to 507 of the family's 1533-position model. The record is from RNAcentral.
AGCGAACGCUGGCGGCAGGCCUAACACAUGCAAGUCGAACGAACUCUUCGGAGUUAGUGGCGGACGGGUGAGUAACACGUGGGAACGUUCCUUUAGGUUCGGAAUAACUCAGGGAAACUUGAGCUAAUACCGGAUGUGCCCUUCGGGGGAAAGAUUUAUCGCCUUUAGAGCGGCCCGCGUCUGAUUAGCUAGUUGGUGAGGUAAAGGCUCAACAAGGCGACGAUCAGUAGCUGGUCUGAGAGGAUGAUCAGCCACAUUGGGACUGGGACACGGCCCAAACUCCUACGGGAGGCAGCAGUGGGGAAUCUUGCGCAAUGGGCGAAAGCCUGACGCAGCCAUGCCGCGUGAAUGAUGAAGGUCUUAAGAUUGUAAAAUUCUUUCACCGGGGACGAUAAUGACGGUACCCGGAGAAGAAGCCCCGGCUAACUUCGUG